AAAAAACGGUCUUGACCAGCUUCAGAAAAUUGUGCCUGAAGGACACGCAUUCAUGUAGGCAGGAUUUAGAAAGGCAAUUCAACAGAUCGAAAGUUUCAACUCCAGAAACAAGGUUCCCACCAUGAUUAUUGCUAUGACCAAUGGAGAACUGGUGGCACAUGCAUUUCAGGACACUCUCAGAGAAGCUCAAAAGGCUCGGAAACUGGGGGCCAAUGUUUACACCCUGGGCGUGGC
Long non-coding RNA from Symphalangus syndactylus (siamang), 234 nucleotides. RefSeq lists it as uncharacterized. Lineage: Eukaryota; Metazoa; Chordata; Mammalia; Primates; Hylobatidae. The record is from RefSeq and is a predicted model, not a curated record.